This 1862-nucleotide long non-coding RNA is filed under the name Pelobates cultripes (western spadefoot toad). The record is from RNAcentral. Lineage: Eukaryota; Metazoa; Chordata; Amphibia; Anura; Pelobatidae.
CCAUAUAUGCUGACUGAGUACCUCCAUCAGGUCAGCUUCCUCUCUGCUACCAGGGACUCUGGAGUGCUUCAGACCCAGUCACCAAAGCAUGACUGUGGUCUCUGAGGACCAAUUCCACCGGACCAGGCUGCAGCUCUCUCCUUCCAGCCAGGCAUUGCCCGUCUUUUUCCUCUUCUGUUCCUCUCCCAUACAGACAUCGAUACCUUUGCGUAUAGUGUUUUCAACUACUACCUGCCUUUAUAAAGGCGCUUGUGGCUCUCAGACCUAGAUCUUUCUUAACGCAUCCUGUGAUUCAUUGAAUAAUGCAGCCAGUUAACAGGUCCAAAAACUUUGUUACUGGGAAUCCUGAACAAAGCAAAAUAGGACACACAGUUCUCAAUGGAACUAAUAUUCACUACUUUAUUUUGGACCAGGGCUAGCCUUUGGUGACUUGCCCUUAAACAUGUGGUGAAAUCCAUCUAAACAAACACACCUAACUUGAGAAACAAGCAGUAUAAUAAUGCCUCAAAUAUAUAACACAAUCACAACUUUCCAAAUUAUGAAAAAAAACACAGAUAUACAGAUGCAACUUGUCAAGUUUUUUUGCAAUUUACUAAUUUGCAUAUUGUUAGUAUACAAAUCAAUGCAUUUUCCAGUUUCACCAACAGAAGGCGAUGGAGAGUCAUCACAAGUCUGAAUAAAGCCCCUUUUAAAACAAGGGUUCAAUAUUGCAACAGUGGCAAAUGCAAACCAGCAAAUGCAAAUGCAGCAGUCCAAAUGGUUCCCUGUGUACCUGCCUCCCCAGAACAGAACCUCUUUCCCGGCUAGGGUCCAUAGUCGUGAGAAAGGAGGCUGACCUUCAGUCCUCUCCAAGUGACAAGAUACACAGUUGUUUUCUGCUUAUCUCCUUCACCAAUGAGAAAUCGUGUUCUGUGACAUCACAAAAGUCAGUCCCAGACCUCAGUGUUGUACUCUACUGACUUCUAACAACCAACAGUUGCUAAGUAGCCUUCCUUGUUUGCUUCAGGUAUGGCGUAUAUUGCCAUGUUCUCAUGUGGAUAUUGAAUAUACUGGAAUGGAUGAAAAGGUUUAGGAGGAAUCCUACAGGAUCUCCAGAAAUUGAAUAUAGAGCAAACAAACACUAUAAUGGUAUAUAUUUAACCAGAGUAUUUACACAAAAGUUGUCCAAUAAAAGUAAACCUGUUAAUCUUAAAGCAGCACGCCCACACCAACCAAUCGCUUCCUCUUCUCUUCCCCUCUCAGAAUCUGUCUUUUCUUUAUUUUCUGAUGUGGUUUGUCUUAUGUAUUUUUCCAAUGCUUGAUUUUCUUUGACAUAAGGAGGAGCAUAAGUCAGCUCCAUUUCCUGUAUCAGAGAAAGUUUUCCCGCAAUACUUACCCUCCUCUGUAUUCUUGUGUUCCCUCCUUUCUCCAUUUCCAAAUGUCCGGUCAUUUAGACUAGGGGGCCGGCGAAUUUACUGAAUUUCAUCCGAACAGAAUGUCAACAGUUUGUCCAUUUGUGUUUAGAUGAAAUUCUGUUAUUUUCGGUUCCUUCCGAUCAGUGCUGCGGCUGCAUCUAGCUCCCUUAACUGUAUCCUGUGGGAUUGCCAUAUAAUGGCAAUCCCACAAGUAUUAGGGAACCAUCAGCCAACUUUACUAAUACUAUGUAAAUAGUUAUUGGAUUAGUAAAUAAGAGCUUAAAAUAUGCCUCCUGCCCCUACUCGUUGUGCUGAGAGUACGUGUAUGUCUACUAAAGAGUGAUCAGCCAGUAGCCAUUGACCUAUUGUCCCAUCCCAGCUUCUGGGUUGGCAACACUAAAUGAUAACAUGGGGCCUUUUGUACCUCCCAACCCCCACCCAGUGGUGGCGGGUAAGGGCUAAUUGUAA